Trifolium pratense (red clover) is the source of this 384-nucleotide long non-coding RNA. RefSeq lists it as uncharacterized. The record is from RefSeq and is a predicted model, not a curated record. The transcript has 2 exons. NCBI's taxonomy places the organism in Eukaryota, Viridiplantae, Streptophyta, Magnoliopsida, Fabales, Fabaceae.
UCUCAUAUUUUUUUCAUUUAUCAUAUUUUGUGAUCUUCUCAAUUUACUAAUAUUGGUUUCCUAUUCUUCUUCUUUUUUUCUUUUUGCAGAAUAGUUGUUCUAAUGUUACAAGAAUAAAAAAAAAUAAAGUAAGCAAUGAAAUUCAUUUCUUCUUUACAAAGAUCUAUAAAAAGCAUAUGAAAACUCAACAUUAAUCUAAAACGUUGUGAAAGAGAAGAUAAUGAAAAUAAAAAAGAUGAAGGUUCCACUAAAUGAAAGUGAAGAAAGUGAAGGGUUCCAAGAAAGAAGAGAAACGCCAGAAAUUAGAUUAGUGAGCAAAAUAAAAACAAUAUCAUUUUUCAUCUAUUCUUUCUCCAUAUUUUUAUUCUACAAUGAUCUUUGCUC